Long non-coding RNA from Haemorhous mexicanus (house finch), 1028 nucleotides. RefSeq lists it as uncharacterized. The transcript is spliced from 3 exons. The record is from RefSeq and is a predicted model, not a curated record. NCBI's taxonomy places the organism in Eukaryota, Metazoa, Chordata, Aves, Passeriformes, Fringillidae.
CACUGCGCGUGCGCCGGAGACGCACCUCGCCUCUCCCACUUAUCGCAGCGGAGUUGGGGGGGGAAGAGCCUGAGGAGGAGAGCGCCGCGCCAGGGGAGAAACAGGUUUCCCCCCCGCCCCCGCUACGAGAUGGUAUCGCCGAGCGCUGAGGGAGAGGCGACUGCGCCUGACGUGCGAACGAAGCGGCCUGCGGAGCUCCUCACGGGAGGAGAUAUGGUGGUGCUGCUGUUGAAGCAGCCGUGGGACUAUGGCUUCAGAGAGUAAGAGUCUUUGGUGGUCAGUGGUGAUCAGUUGCAGGAGAUCACAGCACAUAAAGUUAGGAGUGAAGUGGGCCUUGGCAAAGUAAGUACACAAUCUUUCUUUUAGUUUGCAUAAUCAGUACAUAUUUUUUACAUAUGUACUUUGCACAACAGUACAUAUUUUGGUCUGAAUUACAAUUCUUAUAUAGAAUAUUAUCAAAAAGACAGAAAAUACUAACAAUUAUCUGACUAAAAUUUUAUAAGAAUGCUCUAACAAUAGAUGUUAGAGACAAUCUGAGAAUCACUUUUACUGUCUUGCCACUGAGUGUCACUCUGAUCCUACCUCUCUGCAGCACGGAGGGAACUUUUAAAAGAACUAUUGAGAAAAUUAGAUUGGUUCUGAUGAGUUCAGGUAGCUACAAAGAUACUGUGCAUUGCAGCAAAUAGUAACAGGUGGGCACACACAAUGGGAAAAUUACAGCGACUUACGGAGUCACCGCUCCUCUAACUGGCUACCUCUGUUAAGAGAUACAGGUUGUUAGUGCGCCCCUGGUAAUCCAUCCUGGAAAUAGAUAUUGCUUAGCUGGCCUCUGAGGAUAUUUUUAACCAUUUAUGGUACUACUCUUUCUGCUUUCCACUAAACUGAAACAGCAAAGCAUUGAUCUGAUUCAUGCAUCUCACGGGAGUGAAAACUACAGCUGUAUUUUAAAAAGUAAAACUUGUUCUGGCCUGUAAUUCCAAACUGUUAACAGGAAAAGGGCUGGGGUCCACAUGCUCCUUUUUAACUUA